RNAcentral lists this non-coding RNA (30 nucleotides) under Mus musculus (house mouse). Lineage: Eukaryota; Metazoa; Chordata; Mammalia; Rodentia; Muridae. The record is from RNAcentral.
UUUAACAUGAGCUAAAUGUUGCUAUGGUAC